This 309-nucleotide ribosomal RNA is filed under the name uncultured bacterium. RNAcentral describes it as "partial 16S ribosomal RNA". It matches the Rfam family "Bacterial small subunit ribosomal RNA", at positions 504 to 807 of the family's 1533-position model. The record is from RNAcentral.
AGAGACAGCAGUCGCCGCGGUAAUACGAAGGGGGCUAGCGUUGUUUGGAAUUACUGGGCGUAAAGCGCACGUAGGCGGAUAUUUAAGUCAGGGGUGAAAUCCCAGAGCUCAACUCUGGAACUGCCUUUGAUACUGGGUAUCUUGAGUAUGGAAGAGGUGAGUGGAAUUCCGAGUGUAGAGGUGAAAUUCGUAGAUAUUCGGAGGAACACCAGUGGCGAAGGCGGCUCACUGGUCCAUUACUGACGCUGAGGUGCGAAAGCGUGGGGAGCAAACAGGAUUAGAUACCCCCGUAGUCCCUGUCUCUUAUAC